CGGGACGGGUGAGUAAUGUCUGGGAAACUGCCUGAUGGAGGGGGGUAACUGCUGGAAACGGUAGCUAAUACCGCAUAACGUCGCAAGACCAAAGAGGGGGACCUUCGGGCCUCUUGCCAUCGGAUGUGCCCAGGUGGGAUUAGCUAGUAGGUGGGGUAACGGCUCACCUAGGCGACGAUCCCUAGCUGGUCUGAGAGGAUGACCAGCCACACUGGAACUGAGACACGGUCCAG
Molecule: ribosomal RNA, 233 nt
Filed under: uncultured bacterium
Lineage: Bacteria
Description: partial 16S ribosomal RNA
Rfam family: Bacterial small subunit ribosomal RNA
Source: RNAcentral